GACGAACGCUGGCGGCGUGCUUAACACAUGCAAGUCGAACGGAAAGGCCCUGCUUUUGUGGGGUGCUCGAGUGGCGAACGGGUGAGUAACACGUGAGUAACCUGCCCUUGACUUUGGGAUAACUUCAGGAAACUGGGGCUAAUACCGGAUAGGAGCACCUGCUGCAUGGUGGGGGUUGGAAAGUUUCGGCGGUUGGGGAUGGACUCGCGGCUUAUCAGCUUGUUGGUGGGGUAGUGGAUUACCAAGGGUUUGACGGGUAGCCGGCCUGAGAGGUUGACCGGCAACACUGCGACUGCGAUCCGGACCAGACUCAUACGAGAAGAAGGAGUCGCGAAUAAUGGACUAAGGGCGGAAUCCAGCUGCAUAAACGCCGCGAGCGGGAUGGAGGCAGUAGGGGUAUAAACCGCUUUCGCCUGUAACGAAGGGUGUGGGGCGGUAAUGGGUAAAGAAGCACCGGCUAACUACGUG
Molecule: ribosomal RNA, 468 nt
Filed under: uncultured bacterium
Lineage: Bacteria
Description: partial 16S ribosomal RNA
Rfam family: Bacterial small subunit ribosomal RNA
Source: RNAcentral